This 497-nucleotide ribosomal RNA is filed under the name uncultured bacterium. RNAcentral describes it as "partial 16S ribosomal RNA". It matches the Rfam family "Bacterial small subunit ribosomal RNA", at positions 28 to 507 of the family's 1533-position model. The record is from RNAcentral.
GAUGAACGCUGGCGGCGUGCCUAAUACAUGCAAGUCGAACGAACGGACGAGAAGCUUGCUUCUCUGAUGUUAGCGGCGGACGGGUGAGUAACACGUGGAUAACUUACCUAUAAGACUGGGAUAACUUCGGGAAACCGGAGCUAAUACCGGAUAAUAUUUUGAACCGCAUGGUUCAAAAGUGAAAGACGGUCUUGCUGUCACUUAUAGAUGGAUCCGCGCUGCAUUAGCUAGUUGGUAAGGUAACGGCUUACCAAGGCAACGAUGCAUAGCCGACCUGAGAGGGUGAUCGGCCACACUGGAACUGAGACACGGUCCAGACUCCUACGGGAGGCAGCAGUAGGGAAUCUUCCGCAAUGGGCGAAAGCCUGACGGAGCAACGCCGCGUGAGUGAUGAAGGUCUUCGGAUCGUAAAACUCUGUUAUUAGGGAAGAACAUAUGUGUAAGUAACUGUGCACAUCUUGACGGUACCUAAUCAGAAAGCCACGGCUAACUACGUG